GGAGCAGAUGGGAAGGAUGAAAGGGCUCUACUUGACACUGGGCCUCUUGGCACUCACAACCUGCUUCUCAACAAGUACAACACAAGAGAGACGAAAUAGGCUGAAAAAUAGACUACAAAUGAAUCCAUCUGCACAAGCAUCAUCUUCACCUCAGCAAGUACUUUUCUUAAGGAAAAGAGGUAGAAUUCCCACUCAGCUAAAUCCAUCUGCACAACAAAGACUUGGAGGCUCUCGAGCCUAUUUAAAUCCCGCUGGUCCAAAGAGAUCUCCAAAGAUGAAAUCUAGUCAAACUUCUGCUGUACAGCAAAUUAGCCGAAAACCCUCAAAUUACCUGAAUUUUCCAGUUAAAACAAGAUCUAGAACUAUCAAAUUUGAUGUAAAUAAACCUGCCCAAAAGUUAAUUAAAAGUAAUAAACCUCUCAUGGAUACCUACACUCAUUUAAAAUUAGAUAAAUUCAAAAUUCCUUCAUAUCAAAAAAACAUGAAGCCCAAAACUAAGCUAAACUUAUUAAGUAAACCAAGAAUACCUAGCCAACCAAAAUCUCAGUCAAAAAUACCUGAACAAAAUCAAAAUAAACGCAAAAAAGAACAGCGUGUUAUAAAGAGAAAUCACCUAAGUGGGACUAAAAAUCACCAAAUUAGCCAACCAAAAGCUAGUCAAAAAUCUGCCCAUCAAAAAAGCCACCAACUCCAAAAUAACAUAAAUAUAACAGCUCACAAAAGAUCUAGCAAUACCAAAUCUCAUCUACUCAAAACUAAAAUAUUACCAAGGAAAUCUAAAUCUCUUUCCAGGGUAAAUAAUCAACAGAACUCAGAUUUGACUAAGUUACCCGCAACUUCAACUGGUAAAAAAUAUAGUCAACGUCAAACAAGGCCACAAAAAUUAGGUCCACAGAAAACAUCUGGUAAAUCAAAACUUCUAAAAUACAACAGAAGUAAAGGUAAGAAGGUAAAGCAGAAAACUGGUCCAAAUAAACCUGAUCCAACUGGACCCAGACAUGAUCAACCUGGUCAACCCAAGCCUGGUCAAAAAAAUUACAAACAAAAUGUCAACCAUCUCCCACAUCAAAUGAAUUCAACAGCUCCCCUCAAAAUUAACAAACCCAAAUCUCAGCAAGGAAAAAUGGUUAAAAAAUCUCCAAGAAAACCUAAGCCUCACUUUAUAACCAAAGUUGAGCAAAAUCCAAAAAAAUCUAAUUCUCCUGUAGUUUUAGUUGGUAAACGAAAUGGCCAGCACCAACCUAAACCACAAGCAAUAGGUUCACAUAAAAUAUAUACUCUAUCAAAGCUUCAUAAUAAUGCAAUCAAGAAACAACGAAUGAGUCCAACAAAGACUUCUGAACAAAAGAAAAUUAACCAAAGGAAGUAUCAUCUAAAUUCUACUAAAGAAUCUGGAAACUCGAAACCUGUUGCAAACAGAUCAAAAAGAACCAAAAAAGUGAAAAAACAAUCUGGCCAACAGAGACCAGUGUGUAGACAUUGUCCAUCAGGCCAAUCAAGACCUCUUCAAAUAUUUCCUAUACAACAAAAUAGCUACCAACUUUCAAAUCACAGGAACUCAUCAGCUCUUAAAAAACCUAGAAUUAUCAAAUAUCAGCCAGGCAAAAUUACUAAAAAGUUAUCAAGGAAACCUAAACCUUCCUGUGGGACAAAAUUUCAACAAAAGCCAAAAGUACCCAAACGACCUUCAAUUUCAAAUGGUCCAAGGAAAGGUCAUGGUCAAACCAAACCACAACCAUUAAGUCCCAAGAAAAUAUUCAGCCAAGCAAAACUCCAUAAAAAUCCAACCAUAAGGCAACAAAAGAGUCAAGUAAAAACUUGUCCAAAUAUUCCCAAACAUCAUCAGACUGGGCCCUUAGGGCAUCAUUUGAGUAAACCAAUAAGAAAACAAUCUGGCCAAAGAAAACCGAAGGCAAAAGCAACCAAGCAGAAGAAAAGCAGGAAGGCAAAGAAUCCACCCUAUUAUUCAAGACCUCCCCACCCAGUCCCUCAAUUUCAUCUCCCUGGUCAACCAAUACCUAGACCAAAGGUGCCCUAUCCUAACCCACUUUAUAUUCAUCUGUAUAAACCCAUCCAACACCCUGCCUCACACAUACAUUGUGGAAAGCAACUAGGUAAAAAGCACCAACUUCACCCACACAGAACUUGUCAAAAGCCAGCACUGAAACCUAAACCUGGAUUUCAGCAGCAGCAUCCAGGGAUACUUCCUACCACACAACCUGGAAAGUUGACAACAAAUCUCAAUCCAAAAAUUUCUAAAACUGUAUCCUCGGGACCAUUUUUAGUGACCACCAAAGCCUCUGCAGCCAUUUCAUCUGGAUCAACUAGCAGAAAGCCCACCACAAACUCACUGGCAUCUACCACCAAAUCUUCCUCAACUUCUAAUCCAACAACCACAGCCACAGAAUCCACUGUUUCCACCAAACCUGUGGUUAAUACUCCCAAAUCCUCCACAACUGCAAAGUCAGCAGUUCCUACCAACAAAUCUUCCAGCACUAAUAAACCUUCUACAACUAUCACUACACCUACUACCACAACCAAAGUUAUCUCCUCCACCAAAUCCAUCGUGAACUCUAUGCCUGCUGCCUUCACAAUCAAAUCCACGACAACUUUAAAACCUGUGAUUUUCACUACCAAAUUGACCACCUCUCCCAAGCCUGAAGCACCUACCACCAAACUUACUACCAUCAUUAACACUGUAGCUGACACCAGUACAUCUGCCACUGUAUUACUUAAACCAACUGAAAUUCCUAGUUUCUCUUCCACUGGCCCUACUACUAUAAAACCUGCCCAAAUGACCAAAUCCGUGGUGAAAACCACUGAAUCCCUUCCUACUACCACCAAAGUCAACAAACCUACCAGCUCAAUAUCCAUCACCAGAAGAACUCCUGCUUCUAAUUUCUCAACAAUUGUGGCAGAAACUACAUCUCCUCUCACAAAAUCAGUUUCUCCAUCUUUAUUAACCACCACUCCACCUGCUACUACCACUGUUUCACCUGCCAGUACAGCCACACUGUCCUCGGUCCCUGCUACAACUCUGGCAGGAAGCACUAGCACCUUAAGAGCUGCAAAUACUACAAAGAUGCCAGCCACAACCAUAGUUUCUCUCUCGACAGCAUCACCAAGACACACGUCUGCUGCCACCACAGCUGACCCUACUACAUCUGCUCCCAAAGCUACUUUGCCCCCUCUCACCACAAAGGGUGUUCCCAACAAAGUAGGUAUCUCUACCACAUCUGUUGCUUUAACCACUCCUGCUCCCUCUGCCCUUCCUUCUUCAGUUUCUUCUACCUCCAUCACCAAAUCAUCUCUCUCCCCCACGGCUGCUGCCACCAAUCCCACAUCCAUUGCUGAGGACACUACAGUUCCCGUGACCACAACACAGGUUUUCACCAGCACCCCUGCUGAUAUUACAUCUAUUUCUACAUCUACGGGUUUAGAAGUUGGUGACACUACCUCUGACACUACAGCCACAACGCCCAUGGAAACUACUGCUUCUCUUUCUAAAACCACGGAUGCUCAGUCCACCGCACCUGCUGCUCUAGGCACAACAAAAUACACAGUGAUCACCCCUGAAACAACCACGAAUCUUACUUCCACCACUACCACUAUUCCUGAUAUGUUGCAUUCGACUACCAGAACAGACGCUGCAGCUCCACUCACCGACACAACCCAGAUCACUGCAGAUGAGACAUCAACACCUUACUCUAGCACAUCUGAUGACACUACACUUGAUUAUCAGCCUGAGCCUCCUGACUUCACCUCUGCUGCUUCCUAUACAUCACCUGCCACCACACAGCCCUCCACCUCCAAAGACAUUCCCUUGGCUACACCUGCUGCCACUACAGCUGUUCCUACUGCUCUUCCUAAAACCACCUCUACUACUAACACAGAUCUUGUUACCACCCUGCCUGCUGCCUCAAAUAUUUCCACUCCUUCCAGCACCAUUCAAGCUGCCACCUCCAAAGCUGUACUUCCAACCACAGCCACUGCCACCUCUAUCUCUGGUGUCACUAGCCAAUCAGCUUCAUCGACCUCACUUGGAGCAGCAGCAUCCACAAGUAUCACCUCUACUACCACUAACGUGCCUCCUCUGACCACAGAGGCUCCUACCAUGGUUUCUUCCACAGUCACUCCUUCCUCUGCUGCUUCUGUCACCACACAAGCUGCCACACACGUGUCUGCUCCUCUUAGCACCACACACAGGGCCACAGGUAUAGCCCUCCUCCCCAUGUCCUCCACUGGACCCAGCACCUCCCUUGCCAACACAACCACUGCUAUUCUUGACACUUCCCCUCAGGUUGCCGCUAUCACUUCUCCAGCCCCCACUCCUGCUCCUUCCACUCCAGGUGCCUCCACUUCUGCUGCCACCAGCACUUUAUCAGCUUACUCCAUGUCUUCUAGCACUUGGCCAGCUUUCAUCACAUCUCCUGCCCUCAGUUCAUCAACAGCCACUGCGACCACUGCUGAAAUCACUACGGGUGCUAUUUCCACUACUUCAUCUGACUCCUCUGCUCCUCACUCUACUACCAUAGGAGACACCACAACCUCUCCUACUGACAUUGUACCAAGCACCCUGCUCACCACAGAUGAUACGACAACACUGAGCUCUGGCAUACUUGAUGACACCACUACCGACUAUGACCUUGACACUACCACUGCUGCCUCUGCCACCAUUCACCCUGCCACAACCUCUCCAGCUCCUUCUACCACCUCAGAGCCCAACACUACCACUAAUGAUCACUCCAGCUCACCUGCUGCCACAAACAUUUCUUUUCCCUCUUCCACUAUACAGUCUGUCGCUACUACUUCUGAUACCACCCCAGCUGCCACAGCCACAUUUGCUCCUGCAACAACCACUGCAUCUCUGACCACAACAGUAGCUGGGGUCACUAAUAAGCUGGCUUCUUCCACCACAGUUGGAACACCUCCAGCAACAUCCAUAAGUACCACAUCUGUGGCCACCAGCAUUCUGGCCGUGACCACAAAGGGUGCUGGCACCGAUGCUUCCACAUUGAUUUCCACCAAACCUACCUCUGCUCCCUUUACCACAUCAGCUUCCACCUCCACUUCCCCUGCCGCCUCCAGCACACCCCCUCCUAACACAACCACUCCUGUCUCAUCUACCACAGUCAGGACAUUAUCCUCUGCUGCCACCAGCACAUCAUUUACUACCAUGACAACUUCUCCUUCUCCCACCACUCAGGCUGACACCACCACUGCAGCCACCAUCACACCUGCCUCUACCACCCUCCCCACAGCCACCUCCACAUUGACUACCACUGAGCCCAUCACCUCCACUGUGGUCUCCUCAUCACCUACUACCAUCACUAGUGCUUCUGCUCUUCCCAGCACCUCACAAAGUGCCACUAACACAGCUCCUCCUACCAGCUCAACCACUGCAGCCACCAUCACACCUGCCUCUACCACCCUCCCGACAGCCACCUCCACGUUGACUACAACUGAGCCCGUCACCUCCACAAUGGUCUCCUCCCCACCUACUACCAUCACUAGUGCUUGGGCUCUUCCCAGCACCUCACAGAGUACCACUAACACAGCUCCUCCUACCAGCUCAUCCACUGCAGCCACUAGCACAGCUCCAGCCAGCUCAACUAUUUCUCCUCCCUUAACCACCACACAGUCUGUCUCUACCAGUUCCGCUGCCACAUCUGUCCCUACCACACCCACUACUACAACCUCCCCUGUCACAAAUGUUGCCACCUCCACCGUUGAAGUCAGUUCCUCAUCCGCUGCCACUAUGACACCUGCUACAGGCACACUUGCCCCUUCUACUUCCACACAGCCACCCACCAACACAGCCCUGCUCUCUAUCUCCUCUGCUAUGAGCUCCAUCCCUGCCACUACAAUCAAAUACUCCUCAACCACCACUCAGGCUGACACCACCACUGCAGCCACCAUCACACCUGCCUCUACCACCCUCCCCAUAGCCACCUCCACGUUGACUACCACUGAGCCCAUCACCUCCACAGUGGUCUCCUCCUCAUUACCUACUACCAUCAUUAGUACUUCUGCUCUUCCCAGCACCUCACAGAGGUGGGAAUCUUCGCCAACAUCUGUAAGCACUAUACACAUGGCCACUCACAGCACCAUGGUUACUACAGCCAAUCCUACCACAUUAGCCUCUACAACCACUCCAGCUACUUCUACAGGCACACAGGCUACCACUGCCAUGCCUGGUCUCACUACCAGGUCUGCUAUUAUUAGCACCAUACCUACCACCACAAUGACUUCAGUUCUCCUGACCACCAUGUCUAGCACUUCAACCACUCCUUUCUUUAGUGUCUCAUCAACACCCACCAUGCCUGUUGUCACUACAGCUGCAACCACAGCAGCACCCUACAUCACUUCAACUGAUGCAUCCAACACACCUGUUUCCACCAAAGAGAUCAUCUCUGACACCCCCAAGACUCCUUUGCUCACUACUACAUCUGAUUCUUCCACACUUGAUGAUACUGCCACUCCUGACACUGCAACUCCAACUAUUAUGACAAUCAGUACUGACAUCACAGAUGAUGACACUUCAACACUUACCCCUAGCACAUUUUAUGAAACUAUACCUGAUGGUGAUGAUGGCACUACUAAGAAUAACACAGACGAACCCACAUCAGAUGAUUUUACAGAAAGUCAGACUCAAACUGAAUCAUCAUUUACUGCCUGACUACCAUCGAGCACGAUUUACAUGGAUUGAAUUUCUGAACCAAAUUUAACCUGAGACAAAAAUCUUAGCCCUACUACUCUUUCAAACAUACUAAAUUUUCUUCUAACUAAAAUAAUGUUCAUUUCUAUUCUUAAUAUUUAAAGGAAGUUUAAAUAGCAUAAAUGUAUUUCAUUUCAGUGAAAUUUUCUAUUGCCUAUGAAAUUAAGACUUAGCUUUAAAUAGUACAAAUCAUGACUUUUUUCUCAAAUCUAUACCCAAAAGAAAGAUUUAAGGAAAUUAUACCUAAACAUUAAUGGUGUUUGUUUUGGCGGAUGAGAUCUAGAUACUUCAGGACUGAGACAGAAUGAAUAUUUGACCAAAGAAAUUCCUAUACAGAAAAAUCCUAUCCAACACCUCUCCCGAAACCUAUCCAAUUCUCCAUAUCACCCAAUGAAUUCUACAAAUCCAUUCUGGACUUUAUAGAUACCCACAAAUACACAAAUGUAAAUCUUUAAGAAAUAUAAACAAUUUUAAAGUAAUCAAACUGCAAGCAAGUCAAUUUAUAAAGAAAAGUUAAUAAGUAAUUACUUACCAGUUAUUAGUAUCACAAAGAGAUCCUAAGUUAAAAGAGUCUUUAUCUGGGGUGCCUGGCUGGCUCAGUCAGUUAGGUGUCUGCCUUUGGCUCAGGUCAUGAUCCUAAAGUCCCAGGAUGGAGCCCCUCAUCAGGCUUCCUGCUCAGUGGGGAGUCUGCUUCUCCCUCUGCCCCUCCCCCUGCUCAUGCUCGCGUGCUCUCUCUCUCUCGCUCUCUCUCUCUCUCUCUCAAAUAAAUUUUUUAAAAAGAGUCUUUAUCCGUGAAGG
This is a long non-coding RNA of Vulpes vulpes (red fox), 7516 nucleotides long. The record is from Ensembl. NCBI's taxonomy places the organism in Eukaryota, Metazoa, Chordata, Mammalia, Carnivora, Canidae.